RNAcentral lists this ribosomal RNA (541 nucleotides) under uncultured archaeon. RNAcentral describes it as "bacterial SSU rRNA". It matches the Rfam family "Bacterial small subunit ribosomal RNA", at positions 509 to 1050 of the family's 1533-position model. The record is from RNAcentral.
CAGCCGCCGCGGUAAUACGUAGGUGGCGAGCGUUGUCCGGAAUUACUGGGUGUAAAGGGCGUGUAGGCGGGGAUGUAAGUCAGAUGUGAAAGCCCAAGGCUUAACUUUGGGAUUGCAUCUGAAACUAUGUUUCUUGAGUACUGUAGAGGAAAGUGGAAUUCCCAGUGUAGCGGUGAAAUGCGUAGAGAUUGGGAGGAACACCAGUGGCGAAGGCGACUUUCUGGACAGUAACUGACGCUGAGGCGCGAAAGCGUGGGGAGCAAACAGGAUUAGAUACCCUGGUAGUCCACGCUGUAAACGAUGGAUACUAGGUGUAGGAGGUAUCGACCCCUUCUGUGCCGGAGUUAACGCAUUAAGUAUCCCACCUGGGGAGUACGGCCGCAAGGCUGAAACUCAAAGGAAUUGACGGGGGCCCGCACAAGCAGUGGAGUAUGUGGUUUAAUUCGAAGCAACGCGAAGAACCUUACCAGGGCUUGACAUCCCUCGAAUAGAUUAGAAAUAAUCUAGUCCUUCGGGACGAGGAGACAGGAGGUGCAUGGCC